UACAUUUUGGUGUACGGUGCACAAGAAUUUUUGAUAUUUUAGGGGAUAGUUUAAUUCUGUCAAAUGUAG
This 69-nucleotide transfer RNA is filed under the name Symploce maxima. RNAcentral's name for it is "tRNA-Gln". Lineage: Eukaryota; Metazoa; Arthropoda; Insecta; Blattodea; Blattellidae. The record is from RNAcentral.